GGGCUUGUGGUUUAGUGGUAUAAUUUUCCCUUAGCAUAUCGGUCACUUCGCUAGUGCCGAACUGCGUCUGAAUUUGGGAAAGGUCCUGGGUUCGAUUCCCAGCAAGUCCA
Molecule: non-coding RNA, 110 nt
Organism: Didymella exigua CBS 183.55
Lineage: Eukaryota; Fungi; Ascomycota; Dothideomycetes; Pleosporales; Didymellaceae
Source: the annotation of a RefSeq genome assembly